AGUAACGCGUAGGUAACCUGCCUGGUAGCGGGGGAUAACUAUUGGAAACGAUAGCUAAUACCGCAUAAUAUUAAUUAUUGCAUGAUAAUUAAUUGAAAGGUGCAAUUGCACCACUACCAGAUGGACCUGCGUUGUAUUAGCUAGUAGGUGAGGUAACGGCUCACCUAGGCGACGAUACAUAGCCGACCUGAGAGGGUGAUCGGCCACACUGGGACUGAGACACGGCCCAG
This 230-nucleotide ribosomal RNA is filed under the name uncultured Streptococcaceae bacterium. RNAcentral describes it as "partial 16S ribosomal RNA". It matches the Rfam family "Bacterial small subunit ribosomal RNA", at positions 109 to 334 of the family's 1533-position model. Lineage: Bacteria; Bacillati; Bacillota; Bacilli; Lactobacillales; Streptococcaceae. The record is from RNAcentral.